Molecule: long non-coding RNA, 273 nt
Organism: Quercus lobata
Lineage: Eukaryota; Viridiplantae; Streptophyta; Magnoliopsida; Fagales; Fagaceae
Exons: 3
Source: RefSeq, a predicted model, not a curated record
AGCCCUGCAGGCUGCUCCACGUCCGGUAAUGGACACAUACUCCUCUGGGGAAGAACUGGUUAUUAAGGCAAGAAAACCAUAUACAAUAACUAAGCAACGGGAGAGAUGGACGGAGGACGAGCAUAAUAAGUUUCUAGAAGCCUUGAAGCUUUAUGGAUGAGCAUGGCAGCGGAUAGAAGAACAUAUAGGAACAAAGACUGCUGUGCAGAUCAGAAGUCAUGCACAGAAAUUCUUUUCAAAGGUCAAUUGCUACCUUCUCACCUUAUGCUUGUA